Molecule: long non-coding RNA, 1307 nt
Organism: Lolium rigidum
Lineage: Eukaryota; Viridiplantae; Streptophyta; Magnoliopsida; Poales; Poaceae
Exons: 4
Source: RefSeq, a predicted model, not a curated record
UGCUGUUCCCCGGUGUCAAGAUGUAGCGGCGGCUCCGCACCAGGAACUUGACCUCCUGCUUUUGCGGCCUCCGCUGUUCCUGAUCUCGGCCAGCUUCGUCCCUCCGUUGCACAACGACUUCUGCCGUUAGCUCUACUCCAACCGCGAUUCAGAGACGGAGGACCACGGUCCUGAUGCGGAUGUGGCUGCGGCUCUCGUUGACGUCACAAAGAUUGGCGAAGCCGCUGUGCAGGCUGCCCAGCAUGAUGUUGAGGUUGCCGAUUGAGCUAUUGCCAUCCUAGACAAUCAUGGCGCCGACCUGGAUGAAGAUGUCGCGCACGGUGAUUCUCACGGAAUUUCAAACUAUUCAAGAACUCUGAUGCGUACAUCUGAUCUCCAUCUUCUGUAUUGGACAUUGCUUUGCACACCGUAUCUGAGCUUCGGUCGAGACACAAUUUUGUCAAUGUCAGUUGAGUCUGGGAACACGACCAUUUGUUCAUCUGGAAGAUGGAACUGCAAUCUCUGUACAGAAGGUUGUCGAUGCUGAAGUUCAAAUCCAAAUAUGCGCCAAGAUGCUUCGCCUGCAGAUAGGUACCGUGCAUCAAGGCCGCUAUAUAGCUCCGUCCUAAGUGUGCCUUGAUGCGUCUUGUACCAAUUCAGUCUCCACUGCUCAAUGCAUGUUGCUGCGUCUACUAUGAACUGAAGGAACAACUUGCCACUCAUUUGCAGGACCACCGAUUGAUUUAGUCGCUGCUGGAUACGAUAUGCAUAAUACUCCAUCAUGGUAACAUGCUUUCUUUUUCCUGUGCAACCCUUUAUGGGUUCCAAUUCUAUUUCUGGUCUGAAACCGUCUUCUCCAUAAGGGAAUAACAAUGGGUAUUGCAUAGACAUAAAGCUUGGAUGAAGUUCAGAAAUUCUCUGGAGUUGUUUGUCUUUGUUUUCUACUAUUAUAUCACGUUCAAAACUUUCUCCGGUUUGUUCCCCAACUAUCAGUGCAGCUAUUUCUGAUGCAGUUGGUAGGUUGUAUUGUCUUCCAUCGUUUGAUCUUUUACCGAUUAACCGCAACCUAACACUUUCCAGAUCUGAUUGCUUGUACCUAUCCCUUGCCAUGCGAAAUGAUUUCACUAACUCAUUGUGCUCAUCAAGCAUUUCCAGUAAUCCAGAGACAAUUCCUUCAUCCAGCUGUGUUUUUCUUUCCUUUGACGUUGAUGCCUGCAUUCUGUUCUUUACCUCAUUCUCGGUAUCACAAAUGUACAACUGAGCAAACUUUGGACUUCCUUUAUCUUUAGGUAGCAGUGUGCCAAUUUUAUGAUAGUUUGCACCAUUCA